Molecule: non-coding RNA, 74 nt
Organism: Pteropus alecto (black flying fox)
Lineage: Eukaryota; Metazoa; Chordata; Mammalia; Chiroptera; Pteropodidae
Source: Rfam
GGCUCCAUAGUGUAGUGGUUAGCACGUCUGUUUUACAUGCAGAAAGUCCUGGGUUUGCGCCCCAGGUGGAGCUA